UCGGAUUUCGACAAAACGAUU
Molecule: non-coding RNA, 21 nt
Organism: Caenorhabditis elegans
Lineage: Eukaryota; Metazoa; Nematoda; Chromadorea; Rhabditida; Rhabditidae
Source: Ensembl